Molecule: ribosomal RNA, 468 nt
Filed under: uncultured bacterium
Lineage: Bacteria
Description: partial 16S ribosomal RNA
Rfam family: Bacterial small subunit ribosomal RNA
Source: RNAcentral
GACGAACGCUGGCGGCGUGCUUAACACAUGCAAGUCGAACGGAAAGGCCCUGCUUUUGUGGGGUGCUCGAGUGGCGAACGGGUGAGUAACACGUGAGUAACCUGCCCUUGACUUUGGGAUAACUUCAGGAAACUGGGGCUAAUACCGGAUAGGAGCUCCUGCUGCAUGGUGGGGGUUGGAAAGUUUCGGCGGUUGGGGAUGGACUCGCGGCUUAUCGGCUUGUUGGUGGGGUAGUGGCUUACCAAGGCUUUGACGGGUAGCCGGCCUGGGAGGGGGACCGGCCACAUUAGGACUGAGAUACGGCCCAGACGCCUACGGGAGGCAGCGGAGGAGAAUAGUGCACAAUAGGCGGAAGCCUGAUGCAGCAACGCCGCGUGCGGGAUGACGGCCUUCGGGUUGUAAACCGCUUUCGCCUGUGACGAGGCGUGAGUGACGGUAAUGGGUAAAGAAGCACCGGCUAACUACGUG